RNAcentral lists this ribosomal RNA (500 nucleotides) under uncultured bacterium. RNAcentral describes it as "bacterial SSU rRNA". It matches the Rfam family "Bacterial small subunit ribosomal RNA", at positions 38 to 526 of the family's 1533-position model. The record is from RNAcentral.
AAUAAACGUUCGGCGGCGUGCUUAACACAUGCAAGUCGCGCGAGAAAGCUCCUUCGGGAGCAAGUAAAGCGGCGGACGGGUGCGUAACACGUGAGAAUUUGCCCUUUAGUGAAGAAUACCCACGAGAAAUUGUGGUUAAUGCUGCAUGAGUUCCUUCGGGAAGAAAGGUGGCUUUAUGCUACCGCUAAAGGAUGAGCUUGCGGGCUAUUAGCUAGUUGGUAGGGUAAAGGCCUACCAAGGCGAUGAUGGCUAGCCGGCCUGAGAGGGUGUACGGCCACAUUGGGACUGAGAUACGGCCCAGACUCCUACGGGAGGCAGCAGUGAGAAAUAUUGCGCAAUGGGCGAAAGCCUGACGCAGCGACGCCGCGUGGAGGAUGACGGUCUUAGGAUUGUAAACUCCUGUUAAGCGGGAAGAAAACUCAAUCUCUAAUACAGAUUGAGUAUGACGGUACCGCUAGAGAAAGCACCGGCUAACUUCGUGCCAGCAGCCGCGGUAAUAC